Molecule: ribosomal RNA, 253 nt
Filed under: uncultured bacterium
Lineage: Bacteria
Description: partial 16S ribosomal RNA
Rfam family: Bacterial small subunit ribosomal RNA
Source: RNAcentral
UACAGAGGUCUCAAGCGUUGUUCGGAUUCAUUGGGCGUAAAGGGUGCGUAGGCGGCGCGGUAAGUCGGGUGUGAAAUCUCGGAGCUUAACUCCGAAACUGCAUUCGAUACUGCCGUGCUUGAGGACUGGAGAGGAGACUGGAAUUUACGGUGUAAGCGGUGAAAUGCGUAGAUAUCGUAAGGAAGACCAGUGGCGAAGGCGGGUCUCUGGACAGUUCCUGACGCUGAGGCACGAAGGUCAGGGAGCAAACGGG